AAGUCGUAACAAGGUUUCCGUAGGUGAACCUGCGGAAGGAUCAUUAACACGUAUCCAACGUUAAACCCCCCUGUGAACCUUCAUUGUGCUCCCACGCUUUGUUAGAAAGUGGCAAUCCCUGGUAAAUCAUCGCCGAACAGUUUUGAUUCAGGGACUUCUGCGAAGAGGGUGAAUGAGGCGAGGCAAUGGACCUGGCAUUCCUCUGCUUGUUGGUGUCUGAAAGUGUCACUAACUCUGUACGAAUGACACGGCCGGCGACCGGGUCCCUGAGCUCUGCUCCCUAAUAACCUUUGCAUGAAAACGGGCCUGCGCUUAAUUGUGCGGCCACCAAACUCGAACAACUGUUAACAAUGGAUAUCUUGGUUCUC
Molecule: unclassified non-coding RNA, 368 nt
Filed under: fungal sp.
Lineage: Eukaryota; Fungi
Description: partial internal transcribed spacer region
Rfam family: Eukaryotic small subunit ribosomal RNA (bases 1-46)
Source: RNAcentral